CCUACGGGAGGCUGCAGUAGGGAAUAUUGCUCAAUGGGGGAAACCCUGAUGCAGCGACGCCGCGUGGACGAUGAAGUUUUUAGGAUUGUAAACUCCUUUUGUGAGAGAAGAUAAUGACGGUAUCUCACGAAUAAGCACCGGCUAACUCCGUGCCAGCAGCCGCGGUAAUACGGAGGGUGCAAGCGUUACUCGGAAUGACUGGGCGUAAAGGGUGCGCAGGCGGGCUUGUAAGUCUGAAGUGAAAUCCUGUAGCUUAACUCCAGAACUGCAUUGGAAACUAUGAGUCUAGAGUGUGGGAGAGGUAGGUGGAAUUCUUAGUGUAGGGGUAAAAUCCGUAGAUAGCAAGAGGAAUACUCAUUGCGAAGGCGACCUACUGGAACAUUACUGACGUUCAUGCACGAAAGCGUGGGGAGCAAACAGGAUUAGAUACCCGGGUAGUC
Molecule: ribosomal RNA, 440 nt
Filed under: uncultured bacterium
Lineage: Bacteria
Description: partial 16S ribosomal RNA
Rfam family: Bacterial small subunit ribosomal RNA
Source: RNAcentral